CUUGAAAAGGUAGGUGAGAAUAGAGAGACAAGUUUUGUCUCGUGAAAGUUUCAAUAAAAGGUGGGUGAAUGUAGCAAAGAUGGUACGUGCGAGUGUCGAAACCACUUUGAGCAUGAUCCUAUAUUAAUCAAGAAAGAAAGAAAAAGGAGAGAGAGAAAAG
Molecule: long non-coding RNA, 160 nt
Organism: Octopus sinensis (East Asian common octopus)
Lineage: Eukaryota; Metazoa; Mollusca; Cephalopoda; Octopoda; Octopodidae
Exons: 4
Source: RefSeq, a predicted model, not a curated record